GACGAACGCUGGCGGCGUGCUUAACACAUGCAAGUCGAACGGAAAGGCCCUGCUUUUGUGGGGUGCUCGAGUGGCGAACGGGUGAGUAACACGUGAGUAACCUGCCCUUGACUUUGGGAUAACUUCAGGAAACUGGGGCUAAUACCGGAUAGGAGCUCCUGCUGCAUGGUGGGGGUUGGAAAGUUUCGGCGGUUGGGGCUGGACUAGCGGCUUAUCAGCUGGUUGGUGGGGUAGUGGCUUACCAAGGCUUUGACGGGUAGCCGGCCUGGGAGGGUGACCGGCCACAUUGGGCCUGAGAUACGGCCCAGAAUCCUACGGGAGGCAGCAGUGGGGAAUAUUGCACAAUGGGCGGACGCCUGUUGCAGCAACGCCGCGUUCGGGAUGACGGCCUUCGGGUUGUAAACCGCUUUCGCCUGUGACGAAGCGUGAGUGACGGUAAUGGGUAAAGAAGCACCGGCUAACUACGUG
This 468-nucleotide ribosomal RNA is filed under the name uncultured bacterium. Its description in RNAcentral is "partial 16S ribosomal RNA". It matches the Rfam family "Bacterial small subunit ribosomal RNA", at positions 28 to 507 of the family's 1533-position model. The record is from RNAcentral.